Molecule: long non-coding RNA, 3856 nt
Organism: Poeciliopsis prolifica (blackstripe livebearer)
Lineage: Eukaryota; Metazoa; Chordata; Actinopteri; Cyprinodontiformes; Poeciliidae
Exons: 8
Source: RefSeq, a predicted model, not a curated record
GAAGAUUUGAUUCAAGUGGCUCUACCAGAGACAAGACAUUGUGUAAUACUUUACUUGGCUCUCCAUGGAACUUGCUCUACUGGAUUCCUGGGAAUGAAAGGGGCGGAGCCUCACCGAGAAGGUAAGUCAGAUAGAAAAACAAACGCUUAAGUUUGUUUAGACUCCAUUUUGUCGGGUUGGAGGAGAAAAAAGAAAACCUGAUUCAGGUGAGAGUUACUUCUUGUUUUUCUGUCAGAGUCUGCAACACAUUUACUUAAUAUUUUGUCUCCAGCAGUGCAACUUAAAUUAAAUCUUCCUGUUCAUGUUUAUCUCAAGCUGACCAGACUGCUCAGAUACAACUGCUAAACCAAUCAGAAUCCAGAUCAGAUUCAAGUGUUUUGAAUUGCAGUUUAGUUCAGAUCUUUAUCAGCUGGAGAUAAGAAACUACACUCAGUAAAACAGACUGACCACAUCUGCUAUCACAAACUGAAUCUGCUGUAAAUCAUUUUCACAUCUUUUUUGAGGAUCAACUCAAACCAGCAGAUUGAUAAAGAGAAAGUAAAAAAAAAUCUACACCUGGAUAGACCUGCUUGUCUUGAUUAUGUGGUUGUGAUCUGGCUGUGGACAGGAGAGCUGUAAGGUUGAACCAUCUGGUCUUUUACAUUAUAACAGCAGCUGGACUAAAGUUCAGUUCAGGACAUGAUUACAGACCUGGGAUGCAGCAGAGACAAGGAGCAGAGACGAGGAGCAGGGACGAGGAGGGACGAGGAGCAGGGACAAGGAGCAGGGACGAGGAGCAGGGACAAGGAGCAGGGACGAGGAGCAGGGACAAGGAGCAGGGACGAGGAGGAGGGACGAGGAGGAGGGACGAGGAGCAGGGACAAGGAGCAGGGACGAGGAGCAGGGACAAGGAGCAGCGAGGAGGAGGGACAAGGAGCAGGGACGAGGAGCGGGGACGAGGAGCGGGGACGAGGAGGAGGGACGAGGAGCAGGGACGAGGAGCGGGGACGAGGAGGAGGGACGAGGAGGAGGGACGAGGAGCGGGGACGAGGAGCGGGGACGAGGAGCAGGGACGUUGCUAGCCAUUCAGGUGCCCUGAGCAUAAAAGCUUUGUGGCCUCAUGUCUGACAGAAUUACCAAUAAUUCAAUAUUUUUCUUUGCAUUUCAAACUAUUUAAAGGUGGAGAAUUAAGGCUAAGUCAACAAAUUACAAGAGGAAUUAAGUAGGAAAACAAGUAAAGCAUAAUGAAUAAAAUGCAACAAUAGAAAUUGUAAUACAGAAUUCAUCUUUAGAAACUGAGACUUCCUGUUUUAUCUGACUUGUAAUCAUAACUUAUAUUGUUUUCCUUUGGAAGAUUCAAGAGGAGUUUAUUAAAAUCUUCAAAGUUUGACAAACUUUUUCACAUUAAGUUAAACAAGUGACCUCACUGUUUCUGAGGUCUGACAAGUUUGACCUAAACAUCUUCCCUUAGCCAGGUUUGCAUUGCAUUGUGGGAUGCAGGUGAACUGAAAGACAAUGGUGGUUUCAUAAAGCCCAACAACUUUCAGGACAUCUUCUCAAAGUAACUGGGAACAUCAUCCGUCCAUUUUCUAACAGCCUUGACCCAAACGGGGUCGGGAGGUGCUGGUGCCCAUCUCCAGCCAACGUUCCGGGCGAGAGGCGGGGUCACAGGUCAUCAGUUUAACCCUAACCCACUUUUCCAAAGAUACCUGAAGUUAAACCCAAAAUGAUUUAAUCCUUUGUUUUCAGCAGUUCAGAACAUCUACUUCCUGUUUACAUUUGGUUCUCAUGUCCAUGAAUGUCUAACCAACAGACAGAAGGAAUGUUCUCGCCUGGUUUGUACCAAGAGGUCCAGAUUGUGUCCUCUGAGUGACAUUAAGUCGAGUUAUAAGUUAAUAAAUUAACUGAUUCUGAUCACAGGAAACAAACUAAUGGUGUGGAAACUGCCUUAAAUUCUGGUUCCACAACUAAACUUCCCUGCAAGAGACUGAAAGCCCAGAAGAUGGAGGUUCAUGUGGAGGAACAAGGCGAUAACUCCAGCAGUUCAGCCAACAGGAACAAACCUGAAUCCUCAGACGUAAAACGUCAGAGCAUCAAAAGGAGAGCAGAGUUUCCUCAAUCUGACUGUGUGUCUAUGAAGAGUAAAAAGUCCAUCAGUGAACCUCCGGAUUUCAGUGAUCAUCCUCAACCCUUGGACACAAUAUCCAGAAGAACUGACCAACUGCAGAGAGACAGUCCAGGCAGCUCUGUGCCAGAUGUCAGAUGAGGUUCUGGAUGAGGUGGACUUGUGGAAGUACAGAACAUCAGAGGAGGGCCGGAGGAGACUGAUUCCAGCUGUGAGGAACUGCCGAAAGGCUCGUAUCUUCUGCUCUACAUGAUGCUUUAGAGGAACAUAAGAGCAGUCUAAGGAUGAGAUGUGAAUGUGUGACUGAAGGAAUUGAUGAAACAGGAAUUAAAACCUCUUUCAAGAGGAUCUACACUGAUCUCUACAUCACAGAGGGACAAAGUGAAGAGGUUAAUACCCAGCAUGAGGUGAAGCAGCUGGAGAGAGCUGCCAAGAUCCAGAACCUCCAUGACUCUCCAAUCAGGUGCCAUGACAUCUUUAAAACCUUCCCUGACCAACAUGGAGCCAUCAGAGUGGUUCUGACCAACGGCGUCGCUGGUGUUGGAAAAACCUUCUCAGUGCAGAAGUUCACUCUGGACUUAUUCAUAUGGUUAAAAUGAUCAUGUUGUGCAACAAAUAUCAUGUUGCAACAAAAAAUGAUCACUUCAGACUUGAUAAUGCUGAUGUCUUGAUGCCACUUAUUUUCUCCAAACUUCCUCCUGUUGACUUCGACUUGCAUGUUUUAUUUUUCUUCAGGUUGUUUUACUGCAGGUUGUCAGAGGUCAGCUGUUCUCGUCUGAUCUCAGCUCUAGAGUCCAAUCCCUCCCAUCUGACAGAACUGGACCUCAGCAGGAACAAAGACCUGGGAGACGCUGGAGUUAAGGAGAUCUGUGGCUUUUUAAAGAAUCCAGUGUGCAAACUACAAACUCUGAGACUGAUGGACUGCAGCUUGUCGGAGAGCAGUUGUUCGUUUUUGGUCUCAGCUCUGAGGUCCAACCCUUCUCAUAUGACAAAGUUGGACCUGAGCUGGAACAAAAACCUGAAAGAUGCUGGCGUGAAGGAGCUCUGUGACUUUGCACAGAUUCCUCUCUGCAGAAUUCAGACUCUAAGAUUGAUAGAGUGCAGUUUGUCUGAGAUCAGCUGUGAUUCUCUGGUCUCGGCUCUGAAGUCCAAUCCAUCCCUUCUGACAAAACUUGACCUGAGCUUCAACAACUUGGAAGAUUCCAACGUCCAGCCGCUCUUAGAGCUCAUGGAGAGUCCAGAUUAUGAACUUCAAACUGUGCAGUAAGUGCAUGGCUUAAGUCAUUCCAGGUUGAUGUUGACAGUAUGAAAUGUGUAUCAGAGGAAAGAUCCGGUGUUUUUCUGUAAACCUGCAGCUUCCCAGCAGGAUGUAAUCCUCAUAAGGAUGAAAAGACAAAAACAAAUUGCAUCCUUGUUUUCAUUUAUCAAAGUGUUGCAACAUCAAGACUGAAGUCAGACAAUUGUUUUCUCACAUUUGAACAAUAAGGGAUGAGUUCUAGCUGAGAGGUUAGUGUGACUGCAGCCUUUUGUUUCAGAAACAAUUACAUUAACUAAAUGGCCAAAUUAGUAAAUACAGUCUGUUCUUCUGCUUCGUCUAAAUGUUUUUUUAGCCACAGCCUCCAUGUUUCUCAGCUGACAGUUUGUAACUUUAAGUAAUCAGAGUUCUUUUUUCAUUGCAGGUGGGAUUGAUGGUUCUGCCAAGGAAAGACCCACUGUGACCCGCUGUGACCCGCAGUGACCCGCUGUGACCCG